UACAGAGGUCCCAAGCGUUGUUCGGAUUCACUGGGCGUAAAGGGUGCGUAGGCGGUCGGGUAAGUCUGAUGUGAAAUCUCACAGCUUAACUGUGAAACUGCAUUGGAUACUAUCCGGCUCGAGGAAUGGAGGGGAGACUGGAAUACUUGGUGUAGCAGUGAAAUGCGUAGAUAUUCGCAAGAACACCAGUGGCGAAGGCGGCUCACUGGCCCGGUACUGACGCUGAGGUGCGAAAGCGUGGGGAGCAAACAGG
Molecule: ribosomal RNA, 253 nt
Filed under: uncultured bacterium
Lineage: Bacteria
Description: partial 16S ribosomal RNA
Rfam family: Bacterial small subunit ribosomal RNA
Source: RNAcentral